This 425-nucleotide ribosomal RNA is filed under the name uncultured Bacillota bacterium. RNAcentral's name for it is "bacterial SSU rRNA". It matches the Rfam family "Bacterial small subunit ribosomal RNA", at positions 356 to 774 of the family's 1533-position model. Lineage: Bacteria; Bacillati; Bacillota. The record is from RNAcentral.
AGGGAAUCUUCCACAAUGGACGAAAGUCUGAUGGAGCAACGCCGCGUGAGUGAUGAAGGUUUUCGGAUCGUAAAACUCUGUUGUAAGGGAAGAACCAGUACGUCAGGCAAUGGACGUACCUUGACGGUACCUUAUUAGAAAGCCACGGCUAACUACGUGCCAGCAGCCGCGGUAAUACGUAGGUGGCAAGCGUUGUCCGGAAUUAUUGGGCGUAAAGCGCGCGCAGGUGGUUUCUUAAGUCUGAUGUGAAAGCCCACGGCUCAACCGUAGUGAGCCUCUGAAACUGGUGAACUUGAGUGUAGGAGAGGAAAGUGGAAUUCCCAGUGUAGCGGUGAAAUGCGUAGAUAUUGGGAGGAACACCAGUGGCGAAGGCGACUUUCUGGACUACAACUGACGCUGAGGCACGAAAGCGUGGGGAGCAAACA